Molecule: ribosomal RNA, 144 nt
Filed under: Cercozoa sp.
Lineage: Eukaryota; Cercozoa
Description: partial small subunit ribosomal RNA
Rfam family: Eukaryotic small subunit ribosomal RNA
Source: RNAcentral
UAGUUGGUGGAGUGAUUUGUCUGGUUAAUUCCGUUAACGAACGAGACCUCGACCUACUAAAUAGUAAACAUGAUCCUAGAUCGUGUGUGACUUCUUAGAGGGACUCUCGGUGUGUAGCCGAUGGAAGUUCGAGGCAAUAACAGG